AGAGAGAGAGAGAGAGCACCGAAAGAACGACGACAUGGUGAUCAGUUUUUUUUUGCCUUCUGAAAUUCUCUCUCCAAUAAGAUUAAAACACAUGUCUAACAAGGGACGGUUCUUCUAACUCCUAUUUAGGAGACGUUCUUUGUCUUAAUUGCAAUUUUUCUUUUUCUUUUAAUUGUAAUUCUCCUUAAAGACCCAUCUAAGAGACUGGGUUAAUCCUGCUCUAAUGUUGCUUACGUAUUUUGUGUUGUUAUGCAAUUAUCCCUAAAUACCUACUUUAUACUUCGUGUAAAAUGAUAUUUUAACAGCGGUUGAAAUUUUUAAUUGUUUUUGUUCUGGAGUCUGUAGAACUAGAAAAAAUAAAUCUUAGUAGGUUGUUGACAUAAUUUAUCAUUUUCUCUAACUACGUUUCCUACUUUUGUCUUUACUCAUUGGUUUCUUUUUACUUUCUAAUAAUUCCAAAGUUUCCCUUUUCUUUUCCUGUGAUUUUCAUUCUAUAAUUAUAUAUCUCAAUGAGCAUUUUCAACAAUAAUUGAUUUAAGUUUUGUAUUCGUUUGGUAAUUUAUGACAUUUUAUUAACAUAACCAUUUCUAACUUCAUAUCAAUGUUAAAAUGAAAUCUAUAAUUUGUUUUUGUUGGUUCUAUUUCCAAAUUAUAUGACAGCUUAAAAUCUCAUAAACCUGGGUUGAAAAAAGAGAGAAAAACCUAAAAACUCCUAAAACCAUUUUCCCGACAUUUCUAUGCCCAGUUGAAAAAUCGGAUGAAUCUUUUUAAUAAAGUCAAAUGACAAUAUGGUCGAAUGGUACAGUGAAUGUAGAAAAAUGAUAAAUCUUCUAAGUUUGAUAUCUAUUAUUUUAAAUUUAUUUAUUUGUGUGAUCAAUCAAUAUAAAUAUUUAAUUUUCAUUGUAAUUAAUCAGAUCCGACUGGCACUGACAAGUAUCCUAGUUAUUAAAAAAAAAAAGAAUAAAAUAAAGAUAGUUAAUAGUGUGCUCAGACUAGAACCUAGGAGUAUCUCUCAGAAGUCUGAACCAUAUGCUUUACUCAUUGGUUUCUUUUUUUGUUUCUAGUAGUAAUUCCAAAGUUUCCCUUUUCUUUUCCUGCGAUUUUCAUUCUUUAAUUCUAUAUCUCCAGUCAUGUCUGAUGAAUAAAAGUACUGUCCAAAGAAAGUCCAUAACAUCAUUAAUCAACCCAAAUAAGUUCAAACAAAAUGACCAAAGAUGAUAAAAUGUACAUCAUUAUCGACAAUAUACAUAACCUCGUUUCUACUGAAAUCUAGUAGCCUAUUAACCGAAUUAGAUAUCCUUGUCACAUUCCUUGUUGUAUCUAACCUCACCACGGUACUCCUAGUCUGACUUUGUCUCUACUUUGAUUGUACUCGCACUCCAAAAGCAUUACAUCAAUCAUUUUCCUUCCCUUUUAACCGCAAUUCUCCUCGUACUAGUUGAGACCUCGUAUCGUUGCCUCUAUAAAAAAAAACACCAUCGUAGCCACAGGUUCUUCGCUGUGUUUGGUUUAAUGAGACCAACCCCAUAACAUGUUCAAAUGCGAAUGUGAAGACCAAACCACACCAAAUUCCCAAGUAGAUUAGGUCCCAACCAAUUCCAAAAGCAGACCCGCGUACAAUCCAACAGGGACCAAACACACAAUGAGAGACCAAAUACCUAACUUCAUUGUCUAUUUAUCUUUAUAUUACCUUUGUUGGCUCAGCUUGGAACGCUGGUGAUGGAAAGCAAUUUUGUAGCGCCGAGCCCGAUCCUCAGAGCGUGGCAGAGGCUAGAACAGAGUUGGCAAAAUCCAAACAGUUUUUCGUAUUUCAACGAUGUUCAACCUCUUUCUGUUUCCUUCCAAGUAUCAUACUCUGAGGAGCCAUAGAGACAAACAACCAAUAAUAAUUGAGAACAAAGAGAUAAAAUUGAAAGUGUGAUAGAUAGAGAAAACUGUUUAGAUUAACCUAAUCCCUUUUUUUUAAUAGUAAGUAUUCCAUAAUACCUCCUAUCUCCCUUCUGUGAAAUCCCCAUUCAAUAUCAAAAAUCGAAUCCCAUUGAUAACCAAAUUUCGAAUCCAAUUUCUGAGUCAUCAAAAAAAAAGAUCCACAAUCCAUAUAAUCUCUUUAACAUUAUCACCAGAAUACCUUUUGUGAUUCUGUAAUUUCGUCUUGAUGUUGACUAAAUCUAGAUCUCUUUUCUUUAAAUUCGGAUCCGUUCUGAUACUCCCGGAUUCGAGUUAGCAUAUCUAUCUAUCAAGUUAAUUCUUGUUUGCGGAGCUACAUCAAAUUGAUUUUUUUUAAAGGAAAUAUUUUUUGGGUAGACUUAUUAUUUUAAAAUGUUAAAUUAAAUGAUGAUUUGAUAGGUUUAUUGAUAUUUUAUUUUUUCAAGAAGAUUUUCAAUAUUGUGAAGCUUAACUUUAAAAAUCCAAUGUGAUUUCAAUUAUUCUAGACUUUAUUUUUAAAACAUUUGUAUCCUUUAAACAAUGAUUUGUUAUUUUUAUAUUAAUUUUCUAAAAUAGUAUACGGAGUAUUUCUACUAAAUAGACUAUUUUCAAGUUUUUAUCCUAAAAAUAGAUCAUAAAGAAAGAAAAUGACAAAAAUGUUUUAUUUAAUAGGUAAAAAGAUCUUAAUACCUUAGAUAUAUAAAUACAAAUAAAUAAAUAAAAAAGAAAAAAAAUAUAAAUAUUUUUUUUAUAGUUUCAAAUUAUAUGUUUUCAAAUUCGAAUUUUUUUUUAUCAAUUUUUUUUGUGAUUUGAAAUACUUUUUAAAAUUAUUUUUUAAAUCUUUAUUUUCAAAUUUUUAAUACUUACUUUUUAUUUUAUAAAAUUUUAAAACUUAAUCUCAAAUCUCCACCUCUUAACUAAGGUUUGGAUAAGUUAACUCUAAAUGUAUAAGUGUAUAUUUGUUUUUUUAAUGAAAUAUUUUAGUCAUUUUUAUCCUAGUGUAUAUAUGUGACAAAAAAAAAUUUAACGCUAUUCUAGCGUAUUUCUCUAGUAUAUAUUUCACAUUGAUUCUUUUUAUCUUAAAGUUAUGUUUCUUUUAGUGCGUAAGAAAUCUACAUCAACAUUGCUUCGAUUUUGACUAUUAAUAUAAUUUAUGAUUGGUAAAUUAUAGUUAUACAACUAUACGAUUUUUAUAAUAUAAUUAACUUUAAUAUUUUCAUAGCUAUAGUGCUAUAUAAAAAUGUAAUUGCUAUAUUAUAUGAUUUUAAUCAUACAUAUUUUACUCAGAUGUCGGCUAACAUAUUAUAUUAUCAUUUCUAGAAUGGUUAAUUAUGCUAUAAAAAUAUACUUUUAUAGUAGUUAAUUUAAUUUUAAAACUAUAUUUUAUACAAAAACAAUCAAUAAAAAGUAAAAUAUAUAAAAUCUAUAUAAUAAUAGUAUCUCCCCCAAGGCUAUCCACCUAGGCAGUUUUAAAGUUUGUGGACCCCACGUUUUUUUGGUUUGGUUUGAUCACAAGUUUUCGAGUUUUGUUUGAUUAGGGUUUUAUUGAUCUCCUUCUUCGACCCUUCAACGGUCGCGUCUUCGCUGGUUUUAAUCUGCAAUCAGACGAUUUAUUUUCUCAAUUCUUAACCUCUCUUAUGAUGUUGUUUCCCAAUCAGCCAAUUCAUUCUAGACUGCGCCGGCCGUGCCGCAGCACCUUAACCACCAUAAUCUGAAGGUCCAGGCGGUGGUGGAGCUCCGUAAGGCUUCUCCUUUGUCAGCAUGUAGUCCCCUGAUGUAGCAGGCGCGGAAAGAGAAGAAGGAGGAAGUGCGCCGUGGGGCACCGUACGGCGGAUUGUUUCUGCUGAAGGAGUAAGGUGGCGGUUGAUUUCCACCACCGUAGCCCGCUGGAAACGAAAAGGUAAACACUUUGCAAAAGAGAUCGAAAAAAGAAUGAGUUGACAAUAAAGGUCUGUUUCUUUUAGUUUCUGAUAUGUUUUAGGAAAAAGAAACCAAGAAAGAAGCUUUCAGGAAUUAUUUAGAGUUCGGUGGAGUUAGGGGCUUUUAGGAAGUAUUUGUUAUUGAUUCUCUCACCAAAGGUAUUGUUUCUUUUUCUACAUUACACCAUCACUAAAAGAAACUGCAACCGUUUCUGUAUCAAAUAGUUUGAUCGUUUCCUGACAUAAUAAUUUGAUUUAUACUCUUUUGUAUGUUCUGGAACACAAUGUGGGUUUCCAAUUUACUUCUGGUUGUUUUGUAUGAGCAGAAUGACAAGUCUUCCUUCCUGUACUUUGUUUCUAACCAAUAUGUACCCAGGUGAUGAUAGCUUUUAUAACUUAAUCCUAAUAUGACUUAAGGUCAAAGAGUAUAAUUUUUUUAUGAUCUCUAACCAUAAUAUCCUUCUUUCGUUUUGCUUUCAGAUUCAUUCAGCAAAAUCUAGGAGGUCUUUCAGUUUCUGAUUACGAGAAGCUUCAAGCUGAGAAGUCUAAUCUUCAAAUAAAGUAUAUGAGCUAUUUGCUAAACAUCAAGAAACGUUGAGAGAGGUAUCACGUCCUAACUUGAAUAUAAAAGUUCCAUCAUCAAACCAUCUGUAGCUGAUUAGCAAAUCAUUCCAUGCUUAUGUAGUUACUUAUAGUGGCUCUACAAUACACCAUCCAUAAUCUUAAACAUAUCGAUUCAUCCUUGAUAAACUGAAACUACUUGGGGCCAGUAAUAUCGAGUAGCUAACUCUCUCUGUAGCUAAGAUUCACAAUUGAUGUCGUUGUUGUCCUGGUUUCAACUGCGAAGUCACCUUUGAUAAUUUACAUCUUGGUCGCCCUUCUCAACAAGUUUUUGAUGCUCAUCCAUUUUCAUGAUGCAAGGUAUAUCCAAAAGUAUUCAGACUUCAUGUGAAUUAUUCUUCUGCUUCUUGAUGGGAAGGUAUUCGAUCAACAAACUCUUACAUAUCCAAAUCUCGCUUUGUUUCACUGGCCAACUAAUUUUGGCAACUGUUAUUGUCAAUAGAAUUCUGUAAUCCACACUUUCAUCCCUGCAUUCAAUGAUUUAAAACCAACCAAUAUGGUCACCUGUCUAAAAAAAAGACCACCCAUUCGUCAUAGGACGUUUCAUGCUUUCCACAACGAUCACACUAUUUGACAAGUCUUACGGUGAGGGGUUCUGGGGAGGACUCACACUCCACUUGAACAUGAGAUGUUUUCAAAUUCCAGCAUGCUCUUGUAUCUCCAGUGUCCAGCCAGUGCUGUCAACCCCGGUUCAUCGUUGUCAUUUCUGGAGGUAAAGAUAAAAACUAGGAAACAUGAUUCCCCCUUUCCAUUAAGAGAUUUUUUCUACAGAAAAGGGGCAAGCAGCUAAAUUAUAUCUAUAGAAGUAAUUUUUUUCAAUCUCAUGAUCUCUCAUAUUUAUAAUUGAUGCUUCUAUAUUCUAAAUAACGUCUUUACACCACGCUGCAGAAGUUCUGCCAAGAUAUUUCAGCUCAGGAUGGGUAUUUGCUCAGUUUCAUGAACCAGAAGUCGCCCAGUUCUUUGCAACAUUUGGCGCUAACCUCACAAUUGCAUGGAUGGAAGGUAUAUUCUUUCAUAACAUUAAGUUAUGAAUAUUAAUAGCUCAUGCAGAAACUUGAUCGUACACUGAUUCUUUUCGAAAUCUGUAAUAGCUCAGGAAGGUAUAUUCUUUUCGAAAUCUGUAAGCUAUGAAUAUUUGGCUCAAACAUGGUCGUACACUGAUUCUUUUCAUCCCAUGUUUUCCUUUUCACCUUCUUAGACAAUAGGAGCUCGGUAAAGCUUCCAUGAAGCGGAGAGAGCUUGAAUGGUCUGAAGUAAAAAGCAGUCUUGCUCAGUAAUUAACGGCUUCACAGAUCCCAUGUUCUUUGGAUGUGAGUGACAAUGGACGAUUGGAGAAAAAGACAAGCAUCUGGGCGGAGCAGCGAGGGCAAUUAGCGUCACCUCUGCUGUACUAUAAUUAUCACCUCCGCAGACGCCCUGGAGUCAUAAAUACGACGAGAGAAGGAGGAGAACACGAAAGGGGUUACGGUGUUGGAAGGUCAAGCUAAAUUUAGUUGUUACCUAUCACUAUCAGUGUCCACCACCGAUGCAAUGGCCAAUCGAAUCUCAAGUUCAUUUUAAGGAAAUGGUCUCAGUCAUAAGACUGUUAUGAACAAUCGAUUUCAAAAUAUCAACAUAAACUUAGGAUAAUAAAUUUCUCUCGAAUGCAUUAUUUUUUAAUCAAAAUUUGAUCCUUUUCAAAUAAGAUGAGUCAAACCAUAUAUGCAACUCAUACUAUUAAGCUCACAAACAGAAAAGAAGGAAAAUAAACACAAACUACCUUCCUCAUAUAUUUUAGUUUUAUAUAAUGAAAACCUAUUUUAUAGUUACUUAAAUUCCAUAUAGUAAAAAAAGGCGAAUAUUCAUAUAUGCUAAUAAAUGAAGUACGAAAAUAAUAAAAAUAUUCAGUGAAAAUUAGCCAAACAAAAAAAUAUUCUAAAUUUAAUGGGUUAUUUCUGUCAUACCUUGCUCUUGGUGGUCUUUCCUGGCUGCAUGAUCUUAUCCGUCAAGAGAGUACAUUUUAAGCUCUUCAGUCUUUCCCUUAAGAUUGAGUUUUAGUAUGUAGUCUCUUGCUUUGUUUUUGUUCCUUUGCCCUACUGAUGUAAUCAGUUGUUUCAGACGUUUAAAAAAAAAAAAAAAUUAAAAUACAAUGUAGAAUAAAAAAUGCAUAUACACAUAAAAUUGAGCGGUUCNNNNNNNNNNNNNNNNNNNNNNNNNNNNNNNNNNNNNNNNNNNNNNNNNNNNNNNNNNNAGCGGUUCAACAAAAGUUAUAUGAAUUGACAACUAAAAGGGUAGUUUUUUUUUUUUGACAAUACCAUUAACAUCAUACAAAGUUUCAUAAGGAUGAACAAACUAAUCUCCAUACAUGAAAGCAUCAUUCAACUUAGUAUUUAACACUAAAUAAAAGUCUUAACAACAAACAACAAUAAAAAAAAAAACAGUUAAUGUCCAAUUGUUAUACUAUGACAAACUAUAAACAAAUUAUAUAGUCCAGGAAUGAUUUAAGAAAUUUUGGUAUUCAAACAAAAUAAAUAAAUUUCAAAAUUGAUAGGAAUCAAUAAAAAAAUGUAAUUGUGUUUGGCAUAUUAUGUUUGUGGUUAAUGUUGCAGUUGGAGUAAAGAGCUUGCAUUCAAUUCGAAAGAUGAUGCAACAAGACGACCACACAAUACUUGUGGAUCUUUCUCCGGUAAAAGAAAAAUAUAAAAGUCAAUAACCCCGCGCUUUCGCGGAGACUCCUUCCCUGUAUAAAAAACAGAUCACUAUCUAUUUAAGAAAUCUAAACAAUAAAAUUAUUAAGUUACACAACAUACAACACUAAAAUUUAAAUCAUAUAUUUAAAACGUAAGAUAAUAUCAAAAUUUACAAAAAAAUAUUCGCACGGACGUGCGGCUUCAAACUCUAGUUGCUAUUAAAUUUAAUAUGUAGCAUUUAAAUUCAGUAGACAAUUUAAUUAUAUGCUUUUACCAUGUUUGAUACGACAUGGAAUAAGAGAAGUAAUUACUAAUAGUGAACGAACAUUUGAAAAUAAAGUUAAGGUGUCGGAAGCUCACAGUUAUAACAUAAGACAUUGGUCCAAACAGCAUCAGUAGUUUUUUUUAUCUACACACAUUGAGAAACCAACAAAGAAUUUGGUAUGGACUAAUCACAAGUUUUCUGGGGUUUUAGGAAUUAUCAAUGAAAGAUUUGACAACUUUUUAUUGAUUUUAGUUAUGAGAAAGAGGGAAGUGCCUUAUAUAAGAAAAAUUGUGGCCCCAAUGAUAUCUACUUUUGAAAGAUUAUGGAAAUUUACUUUUACUAUGUCGUUUUUUGCUAUUUUAAUUUUAGGGAUUAAGAAAAAAUAAAUAUCAAAAUAACAGUGUUUUUUUUGUUAAUAUUACUAUUUUUCUUUUGAUUUUCUAUUUUACUAUAAUAGUUAGCAUUUUUAAGUAAGUUGUAAAAUGUUACUAUUUAUUUUGUUAGUUUAAAUAGAUUUUUUGGUUUUAUUUUAUAGUAAUGUUUUAUUUUGUGUUUGUUAUUUUAACUAUUUCAAUAUUAAUUUACCAUUUUAUUUUGGUAUAAAAUGUAUUUUGAAUUUUAUUAUACUUAAGAAGAUAUAUUCUUUUGUUAAUAUUACUAUUUUUUUUUUUAAUAUAAUAGUUUUUUUUUUUUUUUGGUUUAACCUGGGCGUAUCCCAGGCCGAGGUCCAGACUAAUCCCCAAUGGGAGGUGCGGCCCACGGAUGGACCAUCUCUCCGGGUUUUCAAAUGGGACCUAAAGCAUAGGCCCAUAUCCGCGUGGCCCGGCGUAGAGGUAAAUCUGAGGGGGAGGUUCGAACUCGCGGCCCUUAGGACCAUUGCGAGCCGCCUCACACCACUCGACCACCAACGUCGGGUUAAAUAAUAUAAUAGUUAGUAUUUUUUAAGUAAGUUGUCAAUGUUAAUAUUUAUUUUGUUAGUUUAAGUUAUAUAUAUGUAGUAUUAAUUUCGUUCUUUUAUAUAUUUUGGAAAGAUUAACAUUCUAAAAAAUAAUAAAAGAUUUGUCAUAGUUUGAUUAGAGGUUUUAAAUUUUAUGCGGACACCUUUAAUAGGUUAUACCCUCAAUUUUCCAUAAACCGAGAAAUCGGCGUUGCGGAAUUUAUCACACAUGGUUAAUUGGGAUUUUUAAAACCUUAAACCGGAUUCUGCUUUGUGGUUAUAAAGUUUAACGUGAGCCCAUCAACCCAAUAAGCACAGCUAAAAUUUAUGUUUAAUUAUAGCAUUAACCCUAGCGGUAAAAAAAAAUAGAAAAAUUCCAAUUCUACCAAGAUCUUCAAACCCUAGCUGGCGAACCUUUAUCUCUGUCUCUGUUUUUGUCUUUCCUACUUAUAUAUCUGAAAAAUAGCCCCUGUGAAUUAGACAUAGCUAUGGUUAAUUAUCUGUUGAGAAGAAGAUACGUGGCUCCAGAGAUUUCUUUUGAUCUCAUGAUCGAAAUCCUGAGUAGAUUGCCUGCUAAAUCGCUUAUGAGGUUCAAGUGUGUCUCAAAGCUAUGGUGUUGUCUGAUCCGCUCUUGAUAUUUUAGCAACCUUUAUCUCAUGGUCUCAUCAUCGCAACCGCGACCACUUGGUCUAUACAUGAGUUUGUAUAUGAGUUUGGAUUUGGUGAGACACUACACGUGUGAUUCAAUGGAGAUGUAUGAACUGCUAUAUCAUUAAGGUUAAUGUCGUCUAGUAGUAGUGCUGAAUCAUCAUUAGAACCAGAUUUGACUUUCCCAGGGAUGGGAGGAUACAGUAUGGUGUCUCUUCGCGGUUUGAUUGUAUUCACUAUUUGCAGAAAAGCAUGUAUCUAUAAUCCCGCCACUAGACAGAGUUUAACCUUACCCACCUUCAAAUCUAACCUCUUUGCGCAACAAGAACCUUAUAAGCAUGUCCACUACUUUUUCGGACACGAUCCUGUUCUUGAUCAAUACAAAAUAGUCUGUAGUGUUAUGAUAGCCUCGUCAUUCUCUGAGAUGCUAUUCUCCGAGUUUUGGGUCUUCGUAUUGGAACCCGGAGGUUUUUGGAAAAGAACCGAGUAUGAUGCUCAAGCUCACCUUCCUACAAGACAAGGACUCUGCAUCAAUGGAGUUAUAUAUUAUCUGGCUUUCAAUCAUACACGUCGCUAUCACGUUUAUUGUUUUGACGUUAGGUCUGAAGAUAUCCGUGUGAUCCAAGCACCCCAUGCAGUGCCUCAGUUUUGUACUUCCUUUGGUUUCAUAGAGCAUGGUGGAAAACCAGCAAUCUUUGACUAUUCACGUAUUACAGAAACGGGUGUCUCGGAGUUGUGGGUGUUGGAGGUGGAUGGUGGAAUAUGGUCGAGAAAAUCUCUGGUUUUGAAGCUUUGUCAGAAGCAUUUAGUGGAUGACAUUGACCAUAAUAAGAAGUUGAUUGUUCAUGGUACGGGUGAGAACAAUGAGGUUAUCUUGGCGUUGACUUGUCCUUGUUACCUUCUCUAUUACGAUCUGAUGAAGAAUGAUGUGAGGAAGGUUAAUAUCAAUAGAGUGACAACGCCGCAUGUGUGUAUCAAGGUUCUGGAUAAGUGUGAAAGCAUCAUGCACUUGGAAAUUUGAAUAAAGUUUCUUCUAUAUCAUUAUCUAAUUGUGUUUGUCUAUGAUAAUACAGUUGAACUAUUUUUUUAAUAAUAUUUUUUAUUUUAUUUGUUUUGCAAACAAACAAAACAAUAGUUGAAUCUCUGCUUUUUUUAUUGUUUAAUAUCAUAAAAAAAGAUUGGAAUAUGGGUGGAUUUUUGAAGCUUUGAUGCUGAUGAUCCAUUAGCUGUAUAUAAUGCGGUUUUUUUAGGUAUCAAAUCCUGGUUUGAGUACAUGUGAGGCUCCUACUGUUGUCAGGAGACUGCUAGCUCUCAACACACACAUGAGCUUACAAGUUACAUCCAUGAAUUCAUAUUUUUAUUUGUCUCAUGUGAAUUCCCUAAAACAAACAUUUCAUUUGUUGUUAUUGAUCCGCAGAUCCCUGCCUCGUUUCGAGUCAGAAGAGAAUCAGCAGUUGUAACCAACCAAAGCCAAAGAAAACUUCAGUAGCCACGAGCUUGAGUCUUACACCAUGAGCUAUGGCUUAUGCUGCACCUGUGAAGGUUGAGCCAGCCAAGACAUCUGCAGCUUCAAAGCCACAGAGUAUUGUUGAUUCUUACACAGCCUCCUUAGAGGAUAUGACAGCUCAAGGAGCACUUGACGGGUAAUCUUUGGGACUUAUGGCCUUAAAAACAAAGUUAUUUUUGUGUGUAAUGCUAUAUGCCUAUAUCAAACUAAAUGGGAGAUUUUGAUUAUGACUUUAGUGGAAGAAUUCAAGUAGGACUAUGAAUAUUAAGUAAUAAAGUUAUUUUUAGUCAAAUUUGUGGAUUGUUCAAGAAUGAUUUCUGAUUUCGAUCCCAAAUAUUUUUCUGGUUAUCGCCUAAUAAUUUUUUUCCUUGAGAAAUUUGGUAACUUGUUUUAGCUGUAUAUUAUGACAUAUGUAAUAUUCAUAUUGAUUACUACAUUUCAUUUAUUGUCUUGCCAAAAUAGUAUGAAAGAUAAGUUGUACAGAUAAAUUCAUAUGCGAAAUAAAUUUACGAAUUUUAAAAUAUUUACAUGAACGGUUGAAUAUUCUAUAAAUCUCUAAUAUAAUUUUCGUACACUAAUUAUCAGGAGAAUGUGAUAUUUUGUGUUAUUUUGCAUUUUAAUAUGAAACAUAUUUUAUUUAGUUUUAUGAAAAAUAAUCAAUAAACCGCAUCUUAACUUAUCUAAAACAUAUGCAAUUGUAGUAAACAAUUUUAUGAAUGAUUAUAUAUUUAUAUGACAGCGUAUGAGUAAAAAUGAUAAUAAUAGAUGUAUAUGCACGUAAAAUAUAUAUUCAUUGACAUUUAUUCAGAAACCAUGAUGCAAACCAUAAAUAAAACACUCACAACUAUCAUAUUAAUAUAUCUAAUACAAAACAGUACUCACCUAUUUUUAAGUGAUUUUUUACAUUUUUUAACUAAUUUAAACCACUUUAUUUAUUGUUUUUCCUAAAUAAUUCGAUUAUAUUUAUUACAAAAUACAAAAUAGAACUUAUCUAUUUUAAGUAUUUUUAUAACAUCUUUUACAUUUAUUUUUUCAUUUUUUCUAAUUACUUUAUUAAUUAUAUUUACCAUAAUAAUUAGACAAUAUUAUUUUACGUAUUAACCAAAAUAAUUUCGUAGGUUUGAAUGAAAUUGAUUCAUUCAUGACAAGAAUUUAACUGGUUAAUAAUUUUUAUUAUUUGUUUAUAAAAUCAGUUAUACGUGGGCAUCCAUCCAAGUAUCCGUUCCGGAUCAUUUUUUGAAUAUCGGAUUUUUGGGUUUAAAAUUAAACUUUGUUCGAAUAUUAUAAAUUUUCGGAUGGGGUUUGGACUCGGAUCCUUCCGAGUCCGAAUAGGUUUGUAAAAACUUAAAAAUAUCCAAAUAGCUUAUGUGUUUAGAAAUUUCAUUAAAUAAUUUAGAAAAAUAUAACAUUAGCUAUAGUAUUAGUUAAACAAAAAUAGGUCUAAACAUUGGAAAGGAGAAGUUAUGUAGAAACACCUUUACAUUGGAAAAAAAUGUUUUUGCAACCAAAAUCAAAUAUUAGAUACUGCUAUUAACAAAUCGACAAAUUUAAGAUAUACUCUCUAACUAAAAAAAGAAGCACUAACAGAUUCCAAAUCUCCGAAAAAUACACCUGUAUUACCUCAUGAUUUUUCCUAAUAUAGAAAUUUAUUUUAAGCUAAAACCUUUCACUAAUAACAACCUAUAAACAUCUUUUAAUUAUUAAGACAACAACGACCACCCAAAGACACAUAGAAAAGAAAUUCACCGACUGUAAAGAAAAACAACACACAACAAUCAAUCAAAGAAAGCAGACACAUCUUCGAGAUCAAACAAAACCAAUCUCAUUCAUCGUCGCCUUCUCAACAUGGCCGGAAGGGCAGCAAUGCUCGUUAACCUCGGGACGGUUGUAAUGACCGUUUUGACCCUGGCUAGUUUUGUCGAAGGCUUCGGUGUGAAUUGGGGUAAUAUCGCAUCACAUCCGCUGAAUCCUGAUAUUGUUGUUAGGAUGCUUAAGGAGAACAAGAUCAAUAAAGUGAAGCUUUUUGACGCUGAUUCAUGGACGAUGAAUGCUUUGGCCGGUUCGGGCAUGGAGGUUAUGGUCGGAAUCCCUAAUAACCUUCUUGAAACUCUAGCUGAUGAUUACGGUAAUGCUAAAGAUUGGGUCAAAGAAAAUAUCACUGCUUACAUGCGCAAGGAUGGCGUCAACAUCAAGUAACUUUACUAACAUAUUUUAAAAUUCAUUAGACGUUAAUCCGAUGUUGGGAUCAGUCUUGUUUCAGUUAGAUAUAUGUCUAGACAACAACUUAAACCAAUUAAUUAAUCCUUUUUUAUCUGAUUGAUUUAAAUACCGGAUUUGAGAUCAUCCGUUUUUAGGUGAUAGAUGGCUUCUGCGACGUUUAUAUCCUAACUUUUAUUUUGUUUAAAACAAGUAGAUAAAUUGUUGAAAACAAAAGCCAUGAAGAAAACAAAAACACUCGAAUAGAAAAUAAAUAAAUACUUGUACCAGAGUUUGUAUAUUAAUUAUGUGGAUAUAAUAUUUAUAAUUUCUUGGAUAAAUAUUCAUAUAGCCUCAAAAUCAGAUAUAUAUUUUUAUGAGUUUUUUUUUAUAUACUAAUGAUUAUUUUUUCUAAUCUUAAAAGACAUAAAUAUGUUUCGGACUAAUUCAUUCACAUGAUUGCCAUGCUAUAUAGGUACGUGGCUGUGGGAAACGAGCCGUUCUUGUCAGCAUACAAUGGAUCGUACUUAAAAACAACGUUUCCAGCUUUAAAGAACAUUCACAGAGCGUUAAAAGAGGCCGGACAUACCGAUGUCAUGAAAGCCACGAUCCCACAAAACGCUGAAGUUUACCAAUCAGCUAACGACAAGCCAUCAGAAGGCGAUUUCCGCAGCGAUGUUAAGCAAAUAAUGCUCGACAUCGUCAAGUUCUUCCAUGAUAAUGAUUUGCCUUUCACCGUCAACAUUUACCCUUUCCUUAGUCUUUAUCUGAACCAACAUUUUCCCGUCGAAUAUGCGUUUUUCGAUGGUAAUGGUCAGACCAUUCCUGAUAACGGAAAGAAUUACGAUAACGUGUUUGAUGCGAAUUACGACACGCUGGUUUACGCGUUGAAUAAAGCUGGGAUUAAAGAUAUGAAGAUUAUCGUUGGAGAGGUAACUUGAUAAGCAAGUUAUUGAUUAUUAGAUAGGUGUAUUAAGAAUAUUGAGAGCGUUUAUUGAAUCUGCUUAUUUAUUUUUCUUUUAUGUAUAGGUUGGAUGGCCAACGGAUGGUCAUAAAUAUGCGACGCCGAAGCUAGCAGAGAAGUUCUAUGCAGGACUUAUGAAAAGACUUGCUAAGGACGUUGGGACUCCACUGAGACCUGAGAAAUUAGAAGUUUAUCUCUUUGGUUUACUCGACGAAGACAUGAAGAGUAUUCUUCCUGGACCAUUCGAAAGACAUUGGGGAAUCUUCAGGUAAUAGCUAUUCAAACGUAUAUAAAUCGAGUUUCUUAAGUUUUUCUUAACUGAUUUUGUUACGCUCUAAUAGUCUAAUAGCAUGCAUGCGUUACAAAUCAUUACGGCAAUCAUUUAUCAAAAGAUUCAAAACCAGUUCUAGCAUUUAGAGUAUUUUUGCAGAAACUUUUUAGUGUUUGAUGUGUUUCCUUGUUCUGUUAUUUCACUAUUUCGAUGUUCUAUUAUUCCACUCAUCACAUUAUCAUCAUUACCAUUCUUUAUACGUUAAAGCUACUAUUUUAUAACCACUUAUGUUAUACUAUGCUUAAACUAUACAACAAAAAAAAUUAUACUAUGCUUGUAUUAAGAUAUAAUGAGGAAAAACAAAACAUUUUUUUUUUUGAAAAACAAAACAUCAUAUAUUGAGUUCUCGUUAUAUUCAAUAUAUUUUCAACAGAUAUGAUGGAACACCGAAGUUUAUGCUAGAUUUCACGGGACAAGGACGCAAGAUCGUACCCGUGGCAGCGAAAGGUGUGCAAUACUUAGAUAAGCAAUGGUGCGUUGUGAACAAAGACACGAUCAAUCUAGAUGAAGUUGGUCCGGACCUAGACUAUGCGUGUUACCAUGGUGACUGCACCGCGAUGCUUUACGGGUCCACAUGUAGUAACCUCGACAAAAUCCAAAACAUAUCAUACGCAUUUAACAUGUUUUUCCAGAUUCAGGGCCAAGACGUUAGGGCUUGUGAUUUCAGAGGAUCUGCUAUGAUUACUAAGAACAAUGCAUCCGUCGGAAGUUGCUUGUUCCCUAUUCAGAUCGUCAGUGGAAGUGGUGAUUUCAGGAUCAGCUAUGUGUUCGGAAGAUUCAUUGUCGCUGGACUUAUUCUUCUUGGAUUAGUCACAGCUAUAUAAUUUGUUUGCUUGUUUUUUCACAGUUUUGGGAUACUUACUAUAUUCGGUUAAUUGUUAUAUGUUUGUUUGAUAACAUUUGAGUUAGUACUCCUAUAUGUUUAAUAGAUUGACAUAAUCAAAUCAUAUCUCGUUUAUUGUUAUUUUUCGUUUGAGUUUUUUUAAUAGUUUUUUUCGUUUGAAGGUAGUAUGAAUCAGAUAAAAGUUCUAAUUAAAGUUAGUAUGAAUCGUAGUACAAAAUUAGAAAUAAUACAAAAAUUAACAGAAAAGCUAGGUUGGAUUCUUUGUUUGAGAUGGGGUAUCGAUUCCAUAUAGGACUUCUCUUGAAAAAAUCCAAGGUUGGAUCAUCGUAUAUCUUGGAUUGUAAACACUUAACAUGUGUUACUGAAAAAAAAACAAAUAUAACCAUUUGAUAUAUUAGGUUUAAUAGCUGGUUGUGGCUAAUCUGAUAACCAUAUGUUUCAACAUUUGUUAAUAAGAAUUCUAGUAUUAAAAUAAUUAUUGGUUUCAUAAGAAUCGAUAUUUUAUAUAUUUAUUGACAAUUAUGAUGUGUUUUCUAAUGCACUUCUAUAUGAUAUUUUAUUUUUGAUUAGCAUCGCAUAGUAUAUACACAAAUAAGAAAGUAAAUUACAAAAACAUUUAAUAAUUUAUUUUGUGUAGAAAUUUUCAAAUCUAUUAUAAAACCGACGAAAAAAUCAUAGAUUGUAAGCGCUAACUUUAAAACAAAUGUUUCGGUUUAAUAAAAAUCAAACUUUGGAACUUUCUUCCAAAUUAGAUUUCAAGGAAUAUAAGUAUCACUGUUAUAUAAUAAAAUAUAGUACUUUUUAGCAUAAAGAAAGAUGCACUUAUUUUUUCUAAUAGGGUCGGCGUUCAUGAAUAUACACCUCUAUCACUUUCACUCUUUUUUUUUGCCGGCCUCCAUCGCUUUCAAAAUUAAAAGCAAUACAAAAAAAAUUAACAUAUGUAAUUUCAUUUGAACCUCACACUGGCACAUUCCUUCACUCUUGACCAGCCGCCCGCCUGUUUCAGUCCUUCCUUGACAAUAUAGGAUUUUUUUUCCUCUGCUUAAACUUACACAUGACUCAUAGUUUCUAAAGACCAUCCUAUUUCAGUUAAAGAAAACCCUACAUAUUACUAGAUGAUUUCAAUAUUCUUAACCAUUUGCAUGUAAUCUUUAUACGAUAUUACAUCACAUGAAUUUAUAACAAAGCCAUAUCACAUAAUAAAAAGCCACAUCACAUGUUUUCUGUUAAUAUUUAUGUUUUAACACAAUAAAAGCAACUACUAUAUUGUGGUUAAAAACAAUUAAUAGUGGCACCAGGAAAUUUCACCUUACCUUCAAGACAAGAUUAAAGACCAAUUUGAAUCGUUGACUUAGGAAAUUUUGGUCACUGUGGGUCAGUGAGUGUAAUAAUAUAUCCUCGAUACCUUGCUUAGCUAUGAGCCAUAACUUUUGUAAGGAAACACAACGAAUCAUAAGAAAACAGAUGUAAUCUUUUGUCAACCAUGUCCAUAAGAAACACGUUUCCUAUCAAAAAUGGACAGGAACUGUUUGAUUUUUAAGUUUUUAAUUUUUUUGAAACAUAUUGAUGUAUUUAAUUAUGGUACAAUCAGUCUAUAGGUAACCAUUCUUUUACAUUUGCAUAAAUAGAUUGGACCGGAUAGCCAAAAUUUUUGCUUAAAAAAAUUUUUAAACCAAAGUUAGGCCAGACACUCAAACUUAAGCUUUAUCACAGUAUCUCUAAAAAACAUAGUUACAUUUUCAGAAUCCACGUUACCGAACACUAACUAUGACGUCCGUGGACCUUAUGCUCGUACGGGGACCUCAAGCUCUAUAUCCAAAACUCAUUACUUAAACCGAAGCUUACUUUUCACCACCAUGGAUAGUCUCUCCAUACGUCAUUAGAAUGACGUCAUCUUCCUCUUCUUUCACACGUGGUGCUGAAGCACCUUUCUAGUAACCACGCUGAAAUUGCUUGUAAAUGUUUAUUAAUCUUAUCUCUUAAUUAUCUUUCCUUACAACAUAAAAAUAAAAACUUUCGUAAUAUAUUUGUAAGUUUAUCAGUGAAAGAUGCUGAGACGAAGGACCCGCCGAGUCAUCGAGUUGCAUUUAGUACGAGAUCAAAGAUUGAUGUGAUGGAUGAUGGUUAUAAAUGGAGGAAGUAUGGGAAGAAAUCUGUCAAGAACAACAUUAACAAGAGGUAAUUAAUUAAUAAAAUAGUUUAAUUGCUCAUUUCAUCUCAUUAAGUUGUUGAUUUAUAAUAUUUUAUUUAGUUGUUUUUAGAAAUUAACAUGUGGUUGAUUGAACAUUUUCUAUCAUCAUCUUAUAAAUCUAGUGUUAUAGAAUGAUGACUAAUUAAUUAGAUCACAUAGUGUGUGAUUUGAAUACUGUUUAAUGGUCUUUUAUUCAGGUCCGUCUCAAGUAUUGUAUGGGCCCUGCUUAUAUUAUCUACCAACCCACUUCACUUGUAUCAAACUACAUAUCACACAUAUGCAUAUAUAUUUUUGUAUGUUUUUGUUUUUAUACAGACAUACCUUUGUAACUGAUUAGUGAUAAACUGACUAAAAUCCAUGGGUCAUUCAUCAUCUAGAUCUUAUUUUGGCUCAUGUAUCAUAGAUAAAAGCACAAAAAACAAAUCGCCCACAUGUGUAUAUUCAAUACAUAUAUGGAGAUCAGUCUGGAUUUUUUUUAUUUAUAAAAGUAACUAAGCUAAUUAAGGGUGAAUGAAUGGUGUGAAUAUGUAUAUAGGAAUUAUUACAAAUGCUCAAGUGAAGGUUGCAUGGUGAAGAAUAUGUAUAUAGGAAUUAUUACAAACUAGAUAAGGCCCGUGCGUUGCAACGGGUUUUGUUUGAUGUUUUAAUAAAAACAUAAAAAUAAUAAAUCAUUUUAUUAUAGAUUGAGGAUUUUUUUUUUUGUUUGCAUAAGCUGUGAGAUAUUUAUUUAUAAUUACAAACUCAUUUACACACAUAAAUCCCUAUUAGUAUUUGUAUUUAUAAUCAUGGUGCAUAGGUAAAUUGUUAUCAACUUUGUAUUUAAGGUUAGAGAAAACACUCAUACCUAAAAAUUUAAACCAAACUCAACCAAAGUAAAAAUUAAAAUGAAAAAAUUGAAAGCUAAAUAAGGUCAAUCUAGUUAGUGACAAUAUUAUACGGGAAAUUACCAAAAAUACCACAUUCUUAAUACCACUUUUGUUCUCACUUUUAAAAAGAAAAAAAAAACACUUAUAAUCCUAAGGUUAACUAAUCUAGACUAAGGGUUUAGAAUUGAGGGGGUGGGGUAGGUUUUAGGAAUAUGAAAUUUAAGAUUCUAAUAAAUAUAUAAAUAAAUAAUUAAUUUGUUUAAAUUUUUUUUGUGUUAACUAAAUAUAGUUAACUCAUAGAAGUUAACAUAAAUAUAUAUAUGUUAACUAAUACCGAGAUUCAUAAACUUCAUUAUUCAUUUAAGAAUUUUCAAUCAUAUGGCCAAGAUUAACCGAGCAACCAUUAUCAUAGCUGAAACUAAUAGAAAUAAUAAAAAUUAGUAUAUUAAAUUUUCUUCAACUAAUUAGAGUUAACUAAUAAAAUAAACAUCCAAAUCUUUUUAUUAGAAUUUAGUUCAGAAGAUGCUGAUUCAAAAAUUACACUUUGAUAUCUCUUGCUAAAAGACUUUCAUGAUAAUAACAAUACUAUCACAUUUCACAGCGCGAUAUAUAUCUUCAAAUAGUUAUACUUGUCCGGCUCACAAUGUUGCUUUUAUUUCAAUUUCAAUUUCACUAUAUAGAAUAGAGUUUUUGUAGAAAAAAAGGAAAAAAAACUGAAAUUGCUUAAUGAAAUUGGAUUAAUAAUUCAUAGAGAAAAAAUGCUACAGUUAUUUAUAGAAAAAUAUCUCUUUAACAAUUAAGUUAGAGUAAUUAUUUGAACAUCGGUUUUUUCAUAUUAUUGAUAUACUAAUUACACAUCUGUAACAAAAAAGGUUAUAUAUAUAUAUAUAUAUAUAUGUAUAUAAAUGCAUGAAUGUUAUCAUCAAAUUAAUAAUUUCUUGUAUCUUUAAGUUGAGCAAAAUCUUUGUAGUUGAAAUCAAUUUUUUUUCACAGAGUAUUUGAGGUAAUGGUUGUUUCACACAUAUGCAGUUGUUGUUCUCUCAAUCACUCUUAUCUGAAAUUUAUGAUCGGAGACUUUAUAGUUCUUACUGUAAUCCUUUCAGUUCCAAAAAAAAGAAUAAUUGUAAUCUUUUUUGGAUUAUGAUUUCUUAAACAUAAAAUUUACUAUUUUAAUAAGAAAGUUUAUUAUUAUUUGGAAAUAUUUGAAAUACUUGUUUUACAUUUUUUGUUUAGAUUUGAAGAAAAAAGAAAACUACAAUUAAACAGUCUUUAACAAUUUUAUUUUGUAGAAGAUUUUAUAAAAGGAUAAUUACUAUCAAACAAAUUUUUACAAUUAUAUUUUAUUUAUGAUUUUAGAAAACGAAAAUUAGUAUUAAGUAAAUUAUUAUACUUUUUUUUGUUUAAGAAUUGUAAAAAGGAAAAAAAAAUUAGAAAAAGGAAAUUAUUGUCAUAUCGAACUCGAUCGGUUUCUAAUCUCGAUUUUGAUCUUAGAUUAUCACUCUAGCUUGAUCUCGAUCUAUUUCAUAGUUAAUGGAUGGUUGUGUUCGUCUUUGUAUGUAGUGAACCCGGAUCGUUUUCCUUCAAUUGGAGGAAGAAGAUCGCACCACCAAGGAGCUGUUGGUGGUUAUUCUCCUCCUCUUCGCCGGAAUGUCACCGUGCUUCCAGAUAAAGGUAUAUCUCCAAUCUUUUGAAAACUAUCUUUUAGAUCUGAAGAAUUUGUACUAGUCUGGUUAAAUUAUCUCUAGAGUAUCCCGGUUGGUGUCAUAUAUAUUCUUAGAUCUGACAUUUAGAUCAUCUCUGAGCUGAGCUAGUUCAAUUUCAUAUUCUCUUCGUAUGCAGUGACGAUCAUGGAUCGUUUCCCAUCUCCAUUAUUUAGUAGUCUGGUUAAAUGAUAUGUUAUAGUAUCUCGAUUGGUUUCAUAUAUACUCUUAUACUCUUAGAUCUGACAUUUAUAUAAUCUCUGAGCGAGCUCAUCUCGAUCAGUAUCAUUUUUAAUGAUUCGAGUUCUCCUCUGUACGUCUUCUUCUUUUUUGAUUCAUUUCUUAUUCGUUUUGAACAAUUGUAUUGAUUAAAAUUGUUGUUUCUUCUCUUUGUAGGAAACCUGAAAGAUGCUUCUUGGGAAACUUGAGAUUCUUCGUAUGGAACACGUUUUACUCUGCUUGCAUAUUUUUUUGCUGAACGUUAUAAGAGCAUGAUUAACCCAUAACUCCAUUUGGGUCUCUUAUUCAUUAUUUUAGUAAUUAAAACUAAUUAAGAAUCUUAGUUAAGAGCUGCCUUGAUUUUGGAUCUCCAAUGGUAAACUCUUAUUUUGGGGUUCUUAAAAAAAAAAAACUUUGUGUAUUAAACACCAUUAAGCACAUUCUUAUCUUACUCGUGAGAUAAUAGCAGUUCCAGAGUAACCAAGUUUUGAGAUGCUACACGACCAGAAACUAUGAUCAUAGCCAUCACUAAGAGCUUUUUUAACUUCCUCAACAUCCUUCACCUAACAUUAGUGUAAUAGAUGUAUUUAGUACACAAGAAUUUAAUCCUUUUAAACAUAAGAAAGGCUAAUGUUAUGUAAUGACCUAGAUCUUUGCCUCGUGAAAGCACAACACAUCAAAGUUUUCUCUUUGCGCAAGUUGCAGAGGAUAGAAGCUCUCUAGCUUCAACAAUGCUCUCAAUCCAUUAACAUUCCAAGUCAUAAUCUUUACAGACUUGGUACCCUCUGGGAGAGGAGGAGGUCUCAUUGUCAUUGGGUUAUAAGCUUUAUAGUCUUCCUCAGGCUUCUUAUGGGCAAGUAUCGUCCAUGGUUCACUUUGAAUUGAGGAUUUGAAUUGAGGAUGAUAUGAUUUAAUCGGUUCUGAGGACUUUGCUAGAUACGGUCAAUGACGCUUCUUCCUCUUUUAACCGAAGCUUCUGCUUACCUAAGAAGAUAAAGCAACACAUAGUGUUUCAUAAUACUCUAUGUAGAUUGCCAGUAUAUAGUACAAAGUGUUUACUUUUUCUGUAACACAUGACAAACCUGUUUUGGCUAAUGACUUUUGUUCACUAGUUUUUGAAGAAACUUUGGCAUUCAAUUUUUUCUGAGUAGACUGUUUUACUCUUUUUUCUCCAUGGUCAUUGCCAUAAGCAUCAGAGCUAAUGCAGUCAUCUUCUGUAGACUCUUCCUUGCUUCUGAUCUUUCUUUUGAUGGUCACACUUUCUGAGCGAGUGGAUGAAGUAGUUUCCUUUAUUUCUUCACCAGAACUUUCAUCUGUAACAGAUAAACAAGGCAGAUCUUACCAAAUAGCAAAGCUAUAGGAAGUCUGAGACUUUUCAAUCUACUUCAAAUGGAACAAGCGGGAACAACUACUUAAAUGCAAACAAGUCCACAUUCUUUUUUUAAUGUGUAGUUACAUACCUUGUAAAUUACUGUCCAUAUGAAGUCGUAAAGCUGAUAUAAGUUCCUUUCUUGUUUGCUUAUCAAGUAGAACGAUUCGCCAACACAUGCGAUUUUCGUAAUCAACAGAGAGAGAGAGAUAGAGAACGAAAACAAACAAAGUCGGUUUUUUUUUUUCCCUUCUCAAAAUCUGAAUACAAUCACAAAACAACAAACUUUGUACCUUUCGAUUCACAGAACAAAAGCUUGAUUCGAUUCUAGAUGCAUGCGAUUUUCGGGAGAAAAGGAGAGAGAGAGAGAGAGCACCGAAAGAACGACGCCAUGGGGAUCAGUUUUUUUUUGCCUUCUGAAAUUCUCUCACGACGACAUGGUGAUCAGUUUUUUUUUGCCUUCUGAAAUUCUCUCUCCAAUAAGAUUAAAACACAUGUCUAACAAGGGACGGUUCUUCUAACUCCUAUUUAGGAGACGUUCUUUGUCUUAAUUGCAAUUUUUCUUUUUCUUUUAAUUGUAAUUCUCCUUAAAGACCCAUCUAAGAGACUGGGUUAAUCCUGCUCUAAUGUUGCUUACGUAUUUUGUGUUGUUAUGCAAUUAUCCCUAAAUACCUACUUUAUACUUCGUGUAAAAUGAUAUUUUAACAGCGGUUGAAAUUUUUAAUUGUUUUUGUUCUGGAGUCUGUAGAACUAGAAAAAAUAAAUCUUAGUAGGUUGUUGACAUAAUUUAUCAUUUUCUCUAACUACGUUUCCUACUUUUGUCUUUACUCAUUGGUUUCUUUUUACUUUCUAAUAAUUCCAAAGUUUCCCUUUUCUUUUCCUGUGAUUUUCAUUCUAUAAUUAUAUAUCUCAAUGAGCAUUUUCAACAAUAAUUG
Molecule: long non-coding RNA, 22107 nt
Filed under: Brassica napus (rape)
Lineage: Eukaryota; Viridiplantae; Streptophyta; Magnoliopsida; Brassicales; Brassicaceae
Description: long non-coding RNA (BNAP_LNC022535)
Source: RNAcentral